Molecule: transfer RNA, 70 nt
Filed under: Betta smaragdina (blue betta)
Lineage: Eukaryota; Metazoa; Chordata; Actinopteri; Anabantiformes; Osphronemidae
Description: tRNA-Pro
Rfam family: tRNA
About the family: Transfer RNA (tRNA) molecules are approximately 80 nucleotides in length. Their secondary structure includes four short double-helical elements and three loops (D, anti-codon, and T loops).
Source: RNAcentral
CAAAGAAUAGUUUAGUUUAGAAUCUUAGCUUUGGGAGUUAAGGGUGGGAGUUAGAAUCUCUCUUUUUUGA